GGAGCUGGUGAACCUGACGGGGCGGCUGUUCCAGGAGCCGCACUUCAGCUGCUACAUCGCGUCCGUGUUCGGCCUCGGCGCGCGGGUCGACCUGGCCGCCGUGCUGGCCGGGCCCGAGGCCACCCUCGCGCACCACCCACACUUCUGAAACAGGUGCUUGUUGGUCUGGUCGGUUCGUCGUUCCGUAUCAGCCAGCCUACUGCAUCUUGGUCCACCACUUUGCAGGAGAAUGUCAAGCUGAUCUCUGAGACAAGCCUUGGGGCUUACAGGUUAAUUAUCCAUCUCCUGGUCAAGGUUUAUUCCAACUAAACUUUUCCUAGAGCUGUCUGUCCAAAGUGGCUAGAGUACUACAGUAAACUCAUUAAUGAGCUAGGGAAUCGUGGUGAGCAUGCUUCAAAGGUUUUUCUUGAGCACCUAAAUUUUAAUUGCACUCGAUUGUUAGGUUCAUACCUUAUUAAUCGAUGUAAACAUCGUUACGUUUAAAGAAUUCCAUGCAGAAUAAAAGUUGAAGACGUUGAUCAUUUGAACCCUGCCUCCAUGAUAUUUACCUCAAAAAUUUAAGUCUACAUCAUACACAAUUGACUGGGCUAGGUAGUGCUCCUUUUUAUCUCCCUGAAAAAGUUGUUCCAUUAUCCCUUUUUUUUGCUGUUAAAGUGCAAGAUUUCAGAACUAUGCGCUAAUAAAAAACAAAAAAGGGAACCUUCUACAUAGGGCCAAUGCAAUGAGUUGUUGUCAUGAAUAUCUACUCCAGGAGUUUUCCACUGAAAAAGUCUACCAUGGAUUUACAUGCAACUGAGAGAUUUAAAGAUGUCUUCUUUGGCUGGCAUGAUUGUUUACGUUUUCCUCAUUAGAAGCAAUUAACCUACAUGAUCUGUGCAGAAUAUGUCUCACCACUUUAGUAGGAAGGUUUAACAGAAAAUAAUAGUAGCACUGUUUUAACAAGUGGUCCCUUUGUAUGAUGCAGGUUCAAGGGCAGAGCCAUAGAUUUAGCCUCUAAAAAUAAGCUCUGAACGAAUUUAACCACAAUGUGCACGCAAGGGCAGUGAUGCCUUUUACUACUUGAGAGGCCCAACAAGGCAUUUUUACUUUUCUGCUACCAAAGGAAACAAUGAAAAAAAUAUGCUACUCCAGUGCCCUGUAGUUAGUUCCUGUAAAUUUUUACAAAUAUGAUGAAGAAUAAGAUGCAUCAUUUGCAGUACUUGGCUACCAAGAAGGAGCGACACUGUCAUCAAAAUUUUCUCUAUGAGCUAUAUAGUAUAUACUGUCUUUUGACUAUGCGCUUCUCUUAGUACUGCUUGAACAAUCUGUAUCUUUGCCCUGUAUUAUAUGAGCUUAUGAUAGACACACUGUUUGAAAGCACGACCAGCAGCCAAGGACAUCUCACGCCACGCUCUAUCUCAUCUUAGUCCUCACUAAUUCACAAACGGGAUGAAGAGGACACACUAGCUGUCGGGCAGGUUUAGCGCUACUUCCACCAUCACGCCAUCCUCCAUUACUGGAGACCGCGAUGUGGGAUGUUCGUGGGCGGGGAGAGACUCGCCAGUUGUUUCUGCGUAGCCGUCGAUGGCAUCCAUUUGCCUUUUGUUUCAGAGGGCGAACUCCGGGGUCUAUUGUUCACACCCAACAUGAGGAUGCAGUACUAGGAGCAGAGAAUAACAAGUUAAACAAUAACAGACCAUGCUUCUGAAACUUUCAAUGAAAUAUACUGUGCCAGUUUAAACACAUAUUGUUUUGUGAAUCAUUUCCAGCCACUAGAUGCUACCAGCACUUCACAAGGACACAAAAUACCAACAGUAGAAGACACCUAAGGUAAAAAUUCAAAGGAAAGGUGAGUACAGAUGUACAGAAUGUUGACGUAAUGAUAUUGUACCAUGCAACAUUGUGAAGGAGUUAUUUCAAAAGGAAGAUAGAGCUGAUCUUGGAGAAGAGUAGGAUAUACUGUGAUAAAUGAAGACCCAAGUUGCAGUUGCUUCAUGGAUGUAUCGACCCUUUAGUGCUCUUUCUUUCUAAAUCGCAUAUGUCUGCUUAUAUAAUCUUUUGAACCACUGCCUUCUGGGCUGUAAUAAUAGCGUACUGCUUAGAUUGUGGUUUGGUAUGUCAUUACAAGCUUAAAAUUAUUUGCUAUCUAAUUUUUAUGUAGUUCUUGUGUAAUAUUUGUUUCUGCUUUCAUCUUAGUAUGUCAUUACAAUCUAAUUGUUCGUUCUCACCUGGCUUAAUUAGCUGAAAACUGAUGUUCUUACGGUGCCACUUUCUAUUUGCAGUACUAUUGCUGAGCCACCUUACCAUCACAAGUAUUUUCCUGAGCUCUGGUGAUUACUCCCAAGGAUUACUCCACCAAAUAUCAUUACUGAGUGCCGCGUAACAAGGAGGGCAGCAGCCUCGGCGCGGCGAUCAAGUCUCUCCUUAGCGCGGAUAAGUAGUGCCACCUGGCCAGCGGCAGGAAGUCCGCCGAUCGUCGGGAUCUGCUUCAUGGACGGCGCUGGAAGAAGCUCAAUGACCAGGCCAUCGUCCUCUCCAAGAGGAGGGGCCAGCUCAAGCAGUCAGAGUUUGGCGAGCUGUCAAGAUUUUGCUUUUAGUCACAGAGAUAGGCUUCAAAUGUUAUCUACCUUGGUAAGGUGAUUCGUUGUCUUCAGCUGGUAUGUUUAAGCCUGUGCCAGGUUCAGUUAGCGAUAAUAACACCAACAGCGGAGGUGGAGCAUGCAUAGUGCCUAAGUUCAUGAGCUAAUUGUGAUAUUAUUAAUAGAGUUUUCAUAUUUAUCAUUAGGAUGAUGAAGCCUGUCAAGUAUUAUCCAAUACUAAUUAGCUUUGCCUCAGAGCUUGGAAAGAGAAAGUAGAGUUAUCAAUAAUGAUCAGCUACCGUUGAUAUCGAUGUUUCCAGAACAUCGUUUCCAAUUGUCUGUUAUCUCAUUGUGUUUAUAAGCAGAUACAACAUCUCCUGUAACACUUAUUCUUACACUUGCUGAUAUGAACUACUCCCUCCGUCCCAUAAUGUAAGAUGUUUUUUGACACUACAUUAGUGUCAAAAAACAUCUUACAUUAUGGGAAGGAGGGAGUACUUGGCUAUGUUUAUAGAAUUUAUCUCUUUGUGUUUUGUACUACUGGAUGCAAAUUAGUUGUCCUCGGCAAAAAUUGUGCCUUGCUUUUGGUACAAAUUUUGACUUUGUGAACUGCAGUGAAAUUGUGGUUAUCCUAGGCAACAACUACACUUUUCUUUUGGUAUAUAUUUGAUCUGCAUGCCCUA
Triticum aestivum (bread wheat) is the source of this 3241-nucleotide long non-coding RNA. RefSeq lists it as uncharacterized. The transcript has 5 exons. Lineage: Eukaryota; Viridiplantae; Streptophyta; Magnoliopsida; Poales; Poaceae. The record is from RefSeq and is a predicted model, not a curated record.